RNAcentral lists this unclassified non-coding RNA (343 nucleotides) under soil metagenome. Its description in RNAcentral is "partial contains 5.8S ribosomal RNA, internal transcribed spacer 2, and large subunit ribosomal RNA". The stretch from base 1 to 120 matches the Rfam family "5.8S ribosomal RNA", at positions 35 to 154 of the family's 154-position model. The record is from RNAcentral.
GAUGAAGAACGUAGUGAAAUGCGAUAAGUAGUGUGAAUUGCAGAAUUCAGUGAAUCAUCGAAUCUUUGAACGCACAUUGCGCCUCCUGGUAUUCCGGGAGGCAUGCCUGUUCGAGCGUCAUCAAAAACCUCAGUCUCUGAUUUAUCAUUGAUUGGUCUUGCAUCGGAUGCCUUUGGCGUCCCCUGCGAAAUCCAAUGGCGAAGAGCCACGCAGCCAAAGCGUAGUAUAAUAACCUCGUAAUGGAUGUGUGUGCGCUUCUGCCGUAACCCCCCCAAUUCUUAGUUUUUGACCUCGGAUCAGGUAGGGAUACCCGCUGAACUUAAGCAUAUCAAUAAGCGGAGGA